RNAcentral lists this ribosomal RNA (465 nucleotides) under uncultured bacterium. Its description in RNAcentral is "partial 16S ribosomal RNA". It matches the Rfam family "Bacterial small subunit ribosomal RNA", at positions 338 to 795 of the family's 1533-position model. The record is from RNAcentral.
CCUACGGGUGGCAGCAGUGGGGAAUAUUGCGCAAUGGGCGCAAGCCUGAUGCAGCCACGCCGCGUGAGUGAUGAAGGCCUUCGGGUUGUAAAGCUCUGUCGGUAGGGAAGAAGGGUUAUUGUUGUAUACACUAGUGAAUUGACGUUAGCUGCAAAGGAAGCACCGGCUAACUCCGUGCCAGCAGCCGCGGUAAUACGGGGGGUGCGAGCGUUAAUCGGAAUUACUGGGCGUAAAGGGCACGUAGGCGGUAUGUUAAGUGAGGGGUGAAAGCCCCGGGCUCAACCGGGGAAUUGCCUUUGAUACUGGCAAACUGGAGUGUGGUAGAGGUAGGUGGAAUUCCAGGUGUAGCGGUGAAAUGCGUAGAUAUCUGGAGGAACACCGAUGGCGAAGGCAGCCAACUGACAUGUAACUGACGCUGAUGAGCGAAAGCGUGGGUAGCAAACAGGAUUAGAUACCCGUGUAGUC